GGGCUUACUUCAGCAGCACAUACGCUAAAAUUGGAAUGGGACAAAGAAGGUUAGGUUGGCACCUGUACAAGGAUGACACACAACCUCGUGAAGUGUUCCAUGUUUUU
This is a small nuclear RNA of Ochotona curzoniae (black-lipped pika), 107 nucleotides long. The record is from RefSeq and is a predicted model, not a curated record. NCBI's taxonomy places the organism in Eukaryota, Metazoa, Chordata, Mammalia, Lagomorpha, Ochotonidae.